UACGUAGGGGGCAAGCGUUGUCCGGAUUUAUUGGGCGUAAAGAGCGUGUAGGCGGCCAAGCAGGUCCGCUGUGAAAACUCGAGGCUCAACCUCGAGACGUCGGUGGAAACCGUUUGGCUAGAGUCCGGAAGAGGAGAGUGGAAUUCCCGGUGUAGCGGUGAAAUGCGCAGAUAUCGGGGAAGGAACACCCGUGGCGAAGGCGGCUCUCUGGGACGGUACUGACGCAUGAGACGGCGAAAGCGUGGGGAGCCGAACAGG
RNAcentral lists this ribosomal RNA (258 nucleotides) under uncultured bacterium. RNAcentral's name for it is "partial 16S ribosomal RNA". It matches the Rfam family "Bacterial small subunit ribosomal RNA", at positions 524 to 776 of the family's 1533-position model. The record is from RNAcentral.